CGUCUUUAGCCCUUCUAUUAAAGAUCCAUCCUGCCCAGUGACUUUAGUUCAACGGCCGCGGUAUCCUGACCGUGCAAAGGUAGCAUAAUCAUUUGCCUUUUAAUUGGAGGCUAGUAUGAAUGGAUAAACGAGGUUUCCCCUGUCUCUCUUAUAUAAAUAAAACCUAAACUUCAGGUGAAGAUGCCUGACUUUCACAGAAAGACAAGAAGACCCUAUAGAGUUUAAAUUUUAUAAAUCUUCAAUAUAUUUAUAAAUUUUGGUUGGGGCGACCGAGGACUAGACUAAACGUCCUUUAUUAAAAUGAAAAUAAUUCUUUUAGCUGACCCUCCUGGAUUAACAAAAACAACUACCUUAGGGAUAACAGGCUUAUCUUCCUAAAGAGCCCUAAUCGAUAGGAAGGUUUGGCACCUCGAUGUUGGCUUAGAGUAACUUAUUACCGCAGCAGGUAAUAUAAGUUAGUUUGUUCAACUAUUAAAUCUCU
Molecule: ribosomal RNA, 481 nt
Filed under: Gastrolepidia clavigera
Lineage: Eukaryota; Metazoa; Annelida; Polychaeta; Phyllodocida; Polynoidae
Description: partial 16S ribosomal RNA
Rfam family: Bacterial large subunit ribosomal RNA
Source: RNAcentral